RNAcentral lists this ribosomal RNA (486 nucleotides) under uncultured bacterium. RNAcentral describes it as "bacterial SSU rRNA". It matches the Rfam family "Bacterial small subunit ribosomal RNA", at positions 28 to 531 of the family's 1533-position model. The record is from RNAcentral.
GAUGAACGUUGGCGGCGUGCCUAAUACAUGCAAGUCGAACGAAGACUGUAGUAAUACUGUCUUAGUGGCGAACGGGUGAGUAACGCGUGGGUGACCUGCCCCGAAGUGUGGGAUAACAGUCCGAAAGGAUUGCUAAUACUGCAUAAUAUCCAAGAGAUUAGAUGCUUUUGGAUUAAAGGAGUAAUUCGCUUCGGGAGGGGCCCGCGUCCCAUCAGCUAGUUGGUAAGGUAAUGGCUUACCAAGGCGAUGACGGGUAGGGGACCUGAGAGGGUGGCCCCCCAAAUGGAACUGAAACACGGUCCAUACACCUACGGGUGGCAGCAGUAGGGAAUAUUAGUAAUGGGCGAAAGCCUGAACUAGCAACGCCGCGUGUGCGAAGAAGGCCUUCGGGUCGUAAAGCACUUUUUGAGAGGAUGAGGAAGGACGGUACUCUCAGAAUAAGUCUCGGCUAACUACGUGCCAGCAGCCGCGGUAAGAUCACGUGUA